CAUUAUGACGAAAACUUUUUUUAUUUAUUGUCUUAACUUUUUCCUUUCACAUUUGAAGGAUCAAUAUAAACAAUGAACCUAAAUUUUAUAUAAAAGUCAAAUUGGAUGCCAGUGGACGUACCUGUUCGACCCAAAGAUUCGUCGUCAUAAUUUGAUUUUUUAAAUUCUGAAACAAAAAAGGAAAAUUAACUUACAGUAAAAAAGACACCCAUUUUUAAAGAUUACAACCGAAACAAAAAGUGAUACAAAAUGUUUGAGUUAUAAAUCGAUGUGACACAUUUCUAUCCUCAUCAGGCGGGACCCAGAUGGCCGAUGCAGAAAAACACAUAAAUGCAUUUGGAAUGUCCGGGUGGGGCCGUGCCCCCCCGGGUAUCUGGACGAAGACCGAUGACCAGCACAAUAAAAAUACGGCAGGAUUAACGGCAGGAAACGAGAUUUG
Drosophila ananassae is the source of this 439-nucleotide long non-coding RNA. RefSeq lists it as uncharacterized. The transcript is spliced from 3 exons. Lineage: Eukaryota; Metazoa; Arthropoda; Insecta; Diptera; Drosophilidae. The record is from RefSeq and is a predicted model, not a curated record.